Molecule: transfer RNA, 76 nt
Filed under: Geomesophilobacter sediminis
Lineage: Bacteria; Pseudomonadati; Thermodesulfobacteriota; Desulfuromonadia; Geobacterales; Geobacteraceae
Description: tRNA-His
Rfam family: tRNA
About the family: Transfer RNA (tRNA) molecules are approximately 80 nucleotides in length. Their secondary structure includes four short double-helical elements and three loops (D, anti-codon, and T loops).
Source: RNAcentral
GUGGAUAUGGUGAAGCGGUUAACACAUACGACUGUGACUCGUACAUACGUGGGUUCAAAUCCCACUAUCCACCCCA